UACAGAGGGUGCAAGCGUUAAUCGGAAUUACUGGGCGUAAAGCGUGCGUAGACGGUUAUGUAAGUCAGAUGUGAAAUCCCCGGGCUCAACCUGGGAACUGCAUUUGUGACUGCAUAGCUGGAGUGCGGCAGAGGGGGAUGGAAUUCCGCGUGUAGCAGUGAAAUGCGUAGAUAUGCGGAGGAACACCGAUGGCGAAGGCAAUCCCCUGGGCCUGCACUGACGCUCAUGCACGAAAGCGUGGGGAGCAAACAGG
Molecule: ribosomal RNA, 253 nt
Filed under: uncultured bacterium
Lineage: Bacteria
Description: partial 16S ribosomal RNA
Rfam family: Bacterial small subunit ribosomal RNA
Source: RNAcentral